RNAcentral lists this ribosomal RNA (407 nucleotides) under uncultured bacterium. Its description in RNAcentral is "partial 16S ribosomal RNA". It matches the Rfam family "Bacterial small subunit ribosomal RNA", at positions 28 to 526 of the family's 1533-position model. The record is from RNAcentral.
GACGAACGCUGGCGGCGUGCCUAAUACAUGCAAGUAGGACGCAGUUGCGAACGGGUGAGUAACGCGUAGGUAACUGCCUAUUAGAGGGGGAUAACUAUUGGAAACGAUAGCUAAUACCGCAUACUAGUAGAUGGACCUGCGUGGUAUUAGCUAGUAGGUAGGGUAAUGGCCUACCUAGGCGACGUUACAUAGCCGAACUGGAAGGGUGAUCGGCCACACUGGGACGUGGAAAAGGGCCAGACUCCUACGGGGGGGAGCAGUAGGGAAUUGUCGGAAAUGGGGGGAACCCUGACCGAGCAACGCCGCGGGAGUGAAGAAGGUUUUCGGAUCGUAAAGCUCUGUUGUUAAGGAAGCGGUACCUAACCAGAAAGGGACGGCUAACUACGUGCCAGCAGCCGCGGUAAUUC